This 327-nucleotide unclassified non-coding RNA is filed under the name soil metagenome. Its description in RNAcentral is "partial contains 5.8S ribosomal RNA, internal transcribed spacer 2, and large subunit ribosomal RNA". The stretch from base 1 to 120 matches the Rfam family "5.8S ribosomal RNA", at positions 35 to 154 of the family's 154-position model. The record is from RNAcentral.
GAUGAAGAACGCAGCGAAAUGCGAUAAGUAAUGUGAAUUGCAGAAUUCAGUGAAUCAUCGAAUCUUUGAACGCACAUUGCGCCCCCUGGUAUUCCGGGGGGCAUGCCUGUUCGAGCGUCAUUACAACCCUCAAGCUCUGCUUGGUGUUGGGCCCCGCCGCCCCGGCGGGCCCUAAAAUCAGUGGCGGUGCCGUCCGGCUCCGAGCGUAGUAAUUCUUCUCGCUCUGGAGGUCCGGGUGUGUGCUCGCCAGCAACCCCCAAUUUUUUUCAGGUUGACCUCGGAUCAGGUAGGGAUACCCGCUGAACUUAAGCAUAUCAAUAAGCGGGA